UUUUUAGCUUUGAAAGAAAACAUCAUGCACUGCUCAAAUAUGCUUAAAGCCUUGACCUAGCAAAAAUUUGGAAAUGUUCACCCUCAGGGCUGAAGGUAUAAUGUGAUGGCCAGUGCCUUCUGCCCUGAAAGCACUCUGAAUAGCCUGGAAAGAAUGAGGGAGCCUGGGGAGUGGAAUAUCAUGCAUGAUAAGUCCAGCAGCUGGUCAGAGUUGUACUGGGCAGAAACAGGGCUGCUCAGGGAGAUCUGUCUCAUGCCAUCCAUUCU
Molecule: long non-coding RNA, 266 nt
Organism: Passer domesticus (house sparrow)
Lineage: Eukaryota; Metazoa; Chordata; Aves; Passeriformes; Passeridae
Exons: 3
Source: RefSeq, a predicted model, not a curated record